Molecule: ribosomal RNA, 608 nt
Filed under: uncultured bacterium
Lineage: Bacteria
Description: bacterial SSU rRNA
Rfam family: Bacterial small subunit ribosomal RNA
Source: RNAcentral
CCUAACACAUGCAAGUCGAACGGUAACAGGAAACAGCUUGCUGUUUCGCUGACGAGUGGCGGACGGGUGAGUAAUGUCUGGGAAACUGCCUGAUGGAGGGGGAUAACUACUGGAAACGGUAGCUAAUACCGCAUAACGUCGCAAGACCAAAGAGGGGGACCUUCGGGCCUCUUGCCAUCAGAUGUGCCCAGAUGGGAUUAGCUAGUAGGUGGGGUAACGGCUCACCUAGGCGACGAUCCCUAGCUGGUCUGAGAGGAUGACCAGCCACACUGGAACUGAGACACGGUCCAGACUCCUACGGGAGGCAGCAGUGGGGAAUAUUGCACAAUGGGCGCAAGCCUGAUGCAGCCAUGCCGCGUGUAUGAAGAAGGCCUUCGGGUUGUAAAGACGUUCAGCGGGGAGGAAGGGAGUAAAGUUAAUACCUUUGCUCAUUGACGUUACCCGCAGAAGAAGCACCGGCUAACUCCGUGCCAGCAGCCGCGGUAAUACGGAGGGUGCAAGCGUUAAUCGGAAUUACUGGGCGUAAAGCGCACGCAGGCGGUUUGUUAAGUCAGAUGUGAAAUCCCCGGGCUCAACCUGGGAACUGCAUCUGAUACUGGCAAGCUUGA